Molecule: ribosomal RNA, 251 nt
Filed under: uncultured prokaryote
Description: partial 16S rRNA
Rfam family: Bacterial small subunit ribosomal RNA
Source: RNAcentral
ACGUAGGGGGCGAGCGUUAUUCGGAAUUACUGGGUGUAAAGGGUAUGUAGGCGGCCCUUCAAGUCGCGUGUCAAAGUCCAGGGCUCAACCCUGGGUGUGCGCGGGAUACUGACGAGCUUGAGGCGUGUAGAGGUGAGCGGAAUUCCCGGUGUAGUGGUAAAAUUCGUAGAUGUCUGGAGGAAAACCAGUGGCGAAGGCGGCUCACUAGACCGUUUCUGACGCUACGGUACGAAAGCGUUGGGAGCAAACAG